RNAcentral lists this ribosomal RNA (497 nucleotides) under uncultured bacterium. RNAcentral describes it as "partial 16S ribosomal RNA". It matches the Rfam family "Bacterial small subunit ribosomal RNA", at positions 28 to 507 of the family's 1533-position model. The record is from RNAcentral.
GAUGAACGCUGGCGGCGUGCCUAAUACAUGCAAGUCGAGCGAACAGACGAGGAGCUUGCUCCUCUGACGUUAGCGGCGGACGGGUGAGUAACACGUGGAUAACCUACCUAUAAGACUGGGAUAACUUCGGGAAACCGGAGCUAAUCCCGGAUAAUAUAUUGAACCGCAUGUUUCAAUAGUGAAAGACGGUUUUGCUGUCACUUAUAGAUGGAUCCGCGCCGCAUUAGCUAGUUGGUAAGGUAACGGCUUACCAAGGCAACGAUGCGUAGCCGACCUGAGAGGGUGAUCGGCCACACUGGAACUGAGACACGGUCCAGACUCCUACGGGAGGCAGCAGUAGGGAAUCUUCCGCAAUGGGCGAAAGCCUGACGGAGCAACGCCGCGUGAGUGAUGAAGGUCUUCGGAUCGUAAAACUCUGUUAUUAGGGAAGAACAAAUGUGUAAGUAACUAUGCACGUCUUGACGGUACCUAAUCAGAAAGCCACGGCUAACUACGUG